GGUGCGUUAGUUCAGUUGGUUAGAAUGCCAGCCUGUCACGCUGGAGGUCACGAGUUCGAGCCUCGUACGCACCGCCA
Molecule: transfer RNA, 77 nt
Filed under: Prevotellaceae bacterium
Lineage: Bacteria; Pseudomonadati; Bacteroidota; Bacteroidia; Bacteroidales; Prevotellaceae
Also listed under: 1 other name
Description: tRNA-Asp
Rfam family: tRNA
About the family: Transfer RNA (tRNA) molecules are approximately 80 nucleotides in length. Their secondary structure includes four short double-helical elements and three loops (D, anti-codon, and T loops).
Source: RNAcentral